AGAGUCCACAUCGACGGGGAGGUUUGGCACCUCGAUGUCGGCUCAUCACAUCCUGGGGCUGUAGUAGGUCCCAAGGGUUGGGCUGUUCGCCCAUUAAAGUGGUACGCGAGCUGGGUUCAGAACGUCGUGCGACAGUUCGGUCCCUAUCCGUCGCAGGCGUAGGAAAUUUGAGAAGACCUGUCCUUAGUACGAGAGGACCGGGAUGGACGUACCUCUGGUGUACCAGUUGUCCUGCCAAGGGCAUGGCUGGGUAGCUA
RNAcentral lists this ribosomal RNA (257 nucleotides) under Clostridioides difficile. RNAcentral describes it as "partial 23S ribosomal RNA". It matches the Rfam family "Bacterial large subunit ribosomal RNA", at positions 2495 to 2751 of the family's 2925-position model. Lineage: Bacteria; Bacillati; Bacillota; Clostridia; Peptostreptococcales; Peptostreptococcaceae. The record is from RNAcentral.